This 275-nucleotide ribosomal RNA is filed under the name uncultured bacterium. RNAcentral's name for it is "partial 16S ribosomal RNA". It matches the Rfam family "Bacterial small subunit ribosomal RNA", at positions 524 to 796 of the family's 1533-position model. The record is from RNAcentral.
UACGGAGGGUGCGAGCGUUGUUCGGAAUUACUGGGCGUAAAGCGCGCGUAGGCGGCGCAUUAAGUCAGAGGUGAAAGCCCGGGGCUCAACCCCGGAAUUGCCUUUGAGACUGGUGUGCUUGAGUACGGAAGAGGUGAGUGGAAUUCCCAGUGUAGAGGUGAAAUUCGUAGAUAUUGGGAAGAACACCAGUGGCGAAGGCGGCUCACUGGUCCGUAACUGACGCUGAGGUGCGAAAGCGUGGGGGAGCAAAACAGGAUUAGAUACCCGGGUAGUCC